RNAcentral lists this ribosomal RNA (396 nucleotides) under uncultured bacterium. RNAcentral describes it as "partial 16S ribosomal RNA". It matches the Rfam family "Bacterial small subunit ribosomal RNA", at positions 523 to 918 of the family's 1533-position model. The record is from RNAcentral.
AUACGUAGGGAGCGAGCGUUGUCCGGAAUUACUGGGUGUAAAGGGAGCGUAGGCGGGAUGGCAAGUCAGAUGUGAAAACUAUGGGCUCAACCCAUAGACUGCAUUUGAAACUGUUGUUCUUGAGUGAAGUAGAGGUAAGCGGAAUUCCUGGUGUAGCGGUGAAAUGCGUAGAUAUCAGGAGGAACAUCGGUGGCGAAGGCGGCUUACUGGGCUUUUACUGACGCUGAGGCUCGAAAGCGUGGGGAGCAAACAGGAUUAGAUACCCUGGUAGUCCACGCUGUAAACGAUGAUUACUAGGUGUGGGGGGACUGACCCCUUCCGUGCCGCAGUUAACACAAUAAGUAAUCCACCUGGGGAGUACGGCCGCAAGGUUGAAACUCAAAUGAAUUGGCGGGG